RNAcentral lists this ribosomal RNA (253 nucleotides) under uncultured bacterium. RNAcentral describes it as "partial 16S ribosomal RNA". It matches the Rfam family "Bacterial small subunit ribosomal RNA", at positions 524 to 776 of the family's 1533-position model. The record is from RNAcentral.
UACGUAGGGGGCAAGCGUUGUCCGGAAUCAUUGGGCGUAAAGGGCGCGUAGGCGGCCUGAUAAGUAGGGGGUGAAAUCCUGAGGCUUAACCUCAGGGCUGCCUUCUAAACUGUCAGGCUCGAGCACAGUAGAGGCAGGUGGAAUUCCCGGUGUAGCGGUGGAAUGCGUAGAGAUCGGGAAGAACAUCAGUGGCGAAGGCGGCCUGCUGGGCUGUUGCUGACGCUGAGGCGCGACAGCGUGGGGAGCAAACAGG